Molecule: long non-coding RNA, 963 nt
Filed under: Cricetulus griseus (Chinese hamster)
Lineage: Eukaryota; Metazoa; Chordata; Mammalia; Rodentia; Cricetidae
Description: lncRNA (ENSCGRG00000024357.1)
Source: RNAcentral
AUGUUAACAGUUAUUAUCAGAGAGAAGAUUCAAAACAGCCUUCUUCUUGGGAGAAAAACAACCACCCCACCCCUUUUCCUCCAGACACACUCAGGGAUCCCUGCUACCCAAACUGAGCUAAAUCAUAAUAUGCAGUGGGUCACAUCUAUUUUCUUAUACCAUGUUUCAGCCAUGGCGGCUAAGGAUUGCCCAUCACUGUGGAGCUUUGGAACAACAAAGACGUUCAAAAUUCCCGUGGAGCAUUUGGAUUUCAAGUAUAUUGAAAAAUGUUCAGACGUGAAACACCUGGAAAAAAUUCUCUGCGUGCUGAGGUCCGGUGAAGAGGGCUAUUAUCCUGAACUCACAGAGUUUUGUGAAAAGCGCCUCAUGGGCUUGGCUCCUGGAAGUCGAGCUCUGAGGAAAGAUAAGCCCGCUGCAACGGCGUCCAGCUUCACAGCGGAGGAAUGGGAAAAAAUCGACAGUGACUUAAAGGGUCACUGUUGCUGUGCUGAAACACCACAGCUGAAAGCAACUCAGGGAGGAAGGGGUUAUUCGGCCUACACUCCCACAUCACAGUUCCUCAUGGAAGGAAGUCAGGGCAGGAACCUGAGGCAGGAGCCGAUGCAGAGGCCAUGGAGGGGAGCUGCUUACUGGCUUGCUCGCCAUGGCGUGCUCAACCUGCUUUCUUACAGCACCCAGAACACCAGUUGUGGGGUGGUCCUCCCCCGUCAGUCACCAAUAAAGAAAAUGCUCAACAGUCUUGCCUGGCAGCCCAUCUUCUGCAGGCAUUUUCUAAACUAAGGCUCCCUCCUCUCAGACAACUCUCGCUUGUGUCAAGUUGACAGAAAACCAUCCAGAAACCCGUUCUUUUUGUUAGCUGCUGUGCUUUGUUCUGGUCCUCUGCUUUGCCAGUUUCUAUACAAUAAAUGUGCUUCUGGUUGGACUGAACUCUUGAAUCAUUCUGUUAUUGAUAUUAUAUUGUAG